RNAcentral lists this ribosomal RNA (1286 nucleotides) under bacterium. RNAcentral describes it as "bacterial SSU rRNA". It matches the Rfam family "Bacterial small subunit ribosomal RNA", at positions 73 to 1355 of the family's 1533-position model. The record is from RNAcentral.
UUCUAGCUUGCUAGAAGAUGACGAGCGGCGGACGGGUGAGUAAUACUUAGGAAUCUACCUAGUAGUGGGGGAUAGCACGGGGAAACUCGUAUUAAUACCGCAUACGACCUACGGGAGAAAGGGGGCAGUUUACUGCUCUCGCUAUUAGAUGAGCCUAAGUCGGAUUAGCUAGAUGGUGGGGUAAAGGCCUACCAUGGCGACGAUCUGUAGCUGGUCUGAGAGGAUGAUCAGCCACACCGGGACUGAGACACGGCCCGGACUCCUACGGGAGGCAGCAGUGGGGAAUAUUGGACAAUGGGGGAAACCCUGAUCCAGCCAUGCCGCGUGUGUGAAGAAGGCCUUUUGGUUGUAAAGCACUUUAAGCAGUGAAGAAGACUCCAUGGUUAAUACCCAUGGACGAUGACAUUAGCUGCAGAAUAAGCACCGGCUAACUCUGUGCCAGCAGCCGCGGUAAUACAGAGGGUGCAAGCGUUAAUCGGAAUUACUGGGCGUAAAGGGAGCGUAGGUGGCUCUAUAAGUCAGAUGUGAAAUCCCCGGGCUUAACCUGGGAACUGCAUCUGAAACUGUAGAGCUAGAGUAUGUGAGAGGAAGGUAGAAUUCCAGGUGUAGCGGUGAAAUGCGUAGAGAUCUGGAGGAAUACCGAUGGCGAAGGCAGCCUUCUGGCAUAAUACUGACACUGAGGCUCGAAAGCGUGGGUAGCAAACAGGAUUAGAUACCCUGGUAGUCCACGCCGUAAACGAUGUCUACUAGUCGUUGGGUCCCUUGAGGACUUAGUGACGCAGCUAACGCAAUAAGUAGACCGCCUGGGGAGUACGGCCGCAAGGUUAAAACUCAAAUGAAUUGACGGGGGCCCGCACAAGCGGUGGAGCAUGUGGUUUAAUUCGAUGCAACGCGAAGAACCUUACCUGGUCUUGACAUAUCUAGAAUCCUGCAGAGAUGCGGGAGUGCCUUCGGGAAUUAGAAUACAGGUGCUGCAUGGCUGUCGUCAGCUCGUGUCGUGAGAUGUUGGGUUAAGUCCCGCAACGAGCGCAACCCUUGUCCUUAGUUACCAGCGGGUUAAGCCGGGAACUCUAAGGAUACUGCCAGUGACAAACUGGAGGAAGGCGGGGACGACGUCAAGUCAUCAUGGCCCUUACGACCAGGGCUACACACGUGCUACAAUGGUAGGUACAGAGGGCAGCUACACAGCGAUGUGAUGCGAAUCUCAAAAAGCCUAUCGUAGUCCAGAUUGGAGUCUGCAACUCGACUCCAUGAAGUAGGAAUCGCUAGUAAUCGCGGAUCAGAAU